Bombus huntii is the source of this 6237-nucleotide long non-coding RNA. RefSeq lists it as uncharacterized. The record is from RefSeq and is a predicted model, not a curated record. NCBI's taxonomy places the organism in Eukaryota, Metazoa, Arthropoda, Insecta, Hymenoptera, Apidae. The transcript is spliced from 2 exons.
AAAAAUGAUAGAGGUUGAAGGUCAAUAGCAGAAUAAUUAAAAAUGAGGGAUUGGUAUAUAGAUGACUUUUGAAAAUUUCUCCAACAGUGAUCGAAUCUUAAUAAUUGCACAGUUAAUUACGAAUAAUUCAAACAUUUUAUUCUGUAGAUCUUUUAAUACAUUUAUGCGGAUGAAUUUUGGAAAUUUUCAAAUGAAGAGAUUGAAGAUUUAUAAUAGUACGAUCAAAGUUGAGAAAUUGAAUAUUCCAUUCUACAUAUUUUCCAUACAAACUUUCUCUUUUACAAAUGAAUUUCGGCAUUUCCUCACUAAUGAUUCCCAAUGGUAACGACGUAAUUAAUGAUGCAUAGAUGGUAUCUUUAAUCCGAGUAUAUUUUAUACGAAAUAAAAAAUCUGGAAAACGAAUGGAUACGAAUUUCCGGAUAUUAAACAAAAUUACGAAAAAUGACGAAUAAAAAUGUCUAUUCUAUGUAUUUUGUGUAUUACGCGCCAAGAAAUUAAUUAUCUCGAAAAUAUAACAAAUUUCAUGUCUGAAAGACGAUAGCGCUUUAAUAUUGCGAAUAAAAUUGAAGGGUUCGCAGCAAUAAGAAAACAGCUUCAAUAUUUAAAUUGCAUCUAUUGAAAGAGGAAAAGAAGUGUAGAAUUUUAUAUUCAAAGGUUUUAUAUUCGAAAAUGUCAAAGUUUAUUACUACGAAUAUCGAUUGAUUAUGAAUUUAUACGACUUUCAGAUGCUGUGAUGCGACUUUUCGGGAUUUUAAAUUGCAAUUUCUUAGAUCCUUCGAAUUACUUUUUUUUACAUUAUUAAUUAAGUAAACAAUAUUAAUUAUUAAAUGAUAUUAUUCAAAUAAAAUGGAACUAUCUUCUUACUGCAACAUCCCCUUUAAAUUACGACAGAGGGUGAAAAUAGAAAACAGAGGAUUUACACAAAUUCAUAGUCACUUUAAUUAAAUAUAUCUAUGUACAUUAUAGGUACAUCAUAAUACAUUCACCAUAUGACGACUGUACAUCUUAGCAGCACUUUCAAUACUGUUCACAAAAAUACAUCGCAUAUAAACGAGCAAUCGGUUUAUACGCAAGGUCGGCCCAGGACUUGCGACCACAUGGAGCGCUUUCAUGGCAGGCUCCCACAUGGAACCUCUAUUUCUCUCUCUCUUUCUCUCUCUCUCUCUCUCUCGCUUUUUCUCUCUCUUUCUCUCUCUCCCUCUCAAACACGGACUUUAUGUACAAAAAAGAUUUUCAGCUCGAGUCGCAGGUCGGGCCAAAAAAGGAAGGAACGUGCCACGAGAAAGUACGGUCUUUCACCAGGAGCCGAAACUGUUCACGACGAUGCUGCUCUGAAAUGACUUUAUCAAAGUUUUCUUUGGAAUUGUUGCCACGAACCGAACAAUGUUAUAUAGAUAUGGAAGUUCCGGAAAGAAUUCAUCAGAAAUGGAGUAAAGUUCUCUCGUAGGAAACUUUGCUUUCGAGAUAUCCAAUUUUCGAAAUUUAUAGAUUGUUCGUAACUUUAGUCGAUGCAUGUAUAAUGAUCGAGAAGCAUGGUUUUACAAGGAACAUCAAUAUAAAAGAUUAUAACACGAUUCUUGAAGAGACAAAUCUGACAUUAACGUUAUUAAUCAUUUAAAAAUUAAUACUAUAACCUACCAUUAAAAAUACUGCCAUUUGUUGGUAAAGAUACUAAACGCCUAUGUUUUUCAUUGAAGCAGAAGAAUCUUUAAGUGGAUGGCAACAAAGGUUUAAAUUAAAUUAAAAUUGAAAAAUAUAUAUCAAUAACGUGAACAACGCUUGCAGCGUGUUUUAAAUAAUUUUCAUAGUCAAUUUACCAAAAAUCUGAAUCUUCUAUGAGAAACUUUUGCACUACAUUUCCGAUUCACUUUCUCAUGAAAAAUCGCUGCACACAGUCGCAGAUCCGAAAACUGUUAAAAACACAUCGACAUUUUUAAUAUCAUUUUUAACAGAUCGAAUCUCCAUGGCAAAUCGACUGUGUGAAAACCACUAAGUAGCAUCGAUCUAUGCGAUUGAAACAUACUCGGUCGACACGGAAAUCAUUUUUAAAAAUCGUCUCGAGGAGCGGAAUCGCAGCUUUCAACCCCCGGAUCCGGAAGUAAUAUCAACAAACAGCCGCGGCUGCCCGAGUGGGCUGCGGAUUUAUCUUAAGUACCAUCAAGAAACACGAGAUAUUGACACUUUUGAUAUCGAUGAUAUUUAUACAAUUACAUAGAGUUGUGGUGCAAUGAAUCCGGCCUUUAGCUGUCGCGACGAGAACGUGUCGGUUCUGUGACUUCAAAAUCUUACUCGCGAUAUAUUCUCAUCAUAUUCGUUAGACUAUGAUUACAGAGGAUACAUGGUCCGAUGAACUGUCGUUCUGACGAAACGUUCGACAACCGAAAUGCAUACGCUCAGAAAUAGAUUGCGGACGUUCGUGCAAAUUUAUAUUUUUGUAGGUACAUAAUUAAAAACAAGUAGAACUUGAACGGAGAUUUAUUUUCCCUACCACUUGUUAUAACGAAUAUUUUGUUUUAAACGUUUUAUAUAUUUCUGCUAAUUAUUUGUAUUUCAGUAUUCUGGAAGUUCCUAUAUUUUCAAGCUGCCGUAAGAAUCUCUACAGAGCACGCAUCUGUCGCAAUAAUAGUGCUAUUUCCAAACGCAAGCAUGGAGCCGCGAAAUUUUGCCUACGAAAGGUGCUGAACCGACUUCCGUUCUUCACUCGCGUUAUCACAAUUUGUUAUAAUCCAAUCUCUCUUCUGUCUCUUUCGCUCUCGCAUUCUCUCGUUCUCGCGCUGUGUCACAAUGUGCUUCAGGAGAGUUGUAUGCGUUUCACAAUUCACGGUUACUAUGUACAGAAACGAUUUUUUCAUCCUUCUUAUAUUUUUUGUUUUUUGUCUUUUUUUUUUCUUUUUGUUUUUCGCGAAACAACUUAAGGAACAUUUGGUAUCGAGAGCAAUAAUUCGGUCGGAUGGCGACGGCCUGUCGCGAGAAAUCGAACCUCCUCUUCUUUUAAACGACCGCGUUUAAUCGCGUAGGAACGUGUCUCUCUCUUUCAUGUGCGCCGAAAACCGCGUUUCGUAUCUCGUUGGCGUGUACAACGAGUGUACGAAGCACUCGUAGCUGAUCGAGACACCGGUGAAAUGGAAUUCCAAGUCUUUAAAACGUUGCCACCGUGUGGAAGAGAAUGAAUUUUCUGGUAUUGGAGGAUCUGAAUUGUGCCACGGUGGCCGGCUGAAAGCUUCAGGGUGGGUUGCUUGUCUGAAGAAAACCGAGCUUUUUGUUUUAGAAGAAUGUUCGUAACACUGUAUUCAACAUUAUUUGAAUAAAAUUUUGUUCCAGUUUUACUUAAUCGACUGUGAAUGUUUAUGCAAAGUCGUGUUCUUACUCCAAGAGCAAAUGGAAUCUAAAUACUAUAGCGAGUAUUUUAUUUUUAUAUAUGUGCUAUAUUUUUUAUUAGUUCUGUGUAUAUAUAUACAGGGUGGUUGGUAACUGGUGGUGCAAGCGGAAAGGGGGUGAUUCUACGCAAAAAAAGAAAUCGAAAAUAUGGAAUAAAAAUUUUUUUUUUAAUUUUUCCAUCGAGACAACGAUCUACGGUGAGAUCCGUUAUAACGUACCGCACGCGUACCGAGCGAAAAUUCAAAAUCGAUUUUCUCGAAAACAAAGCCUCGAACGAAAAAUUUGUAUUCUAUAUUUUCGACUUGUUUUUUCGCGUAGAAUCACCCCCUUUCCGCUUGUACCACCAGUUACCAAUCACCCUGUAUAUAUACACUUAAUAUUUUGUAUUAGUGAUUGCAAAAAGUAUUUGCACACCAGUGUAUUUAUUAUAUCAUACAUUAAUUUAUUAGGUCCAAGUAUAUUACAUUUUGUAUCGCUUAGUAGUACUUUCAUACGAACAAAAAUUAGAUAUCAGUUUGGAAAUGAACUGUAGGGUCUAAGAGACAGGUGCUUUAUUGGAAAAUAGAAAUAUUUUUAGUUGUGCAGAUUCGUGUACAUUUAAAAUUCACGCAAAUGCAUAAACCUUCGUAGAUUACGAAGAUUAAUUAAUUAUUUAAAUAUUCGGAAUAUUUUCGUCUUUGUUGUGUUUUAUGGUGUUAUUAAACUGAAUAAAGUUUGUUUAAUGUUCUUUCGAACUGUCUGUUAAUGAUCGAAAGUUAUAGAUAUUUUAACGAUUACUUGUCACUAGUUAAAAAGAAAUUCUAUAUCGAGCAUUUUACCGCAUAAACAAAGUAUAUUUUAAAGGAAAGAAGGUGCAUCGAAAACAAUUGAAAAGUAUUCGCAGGAAAUUGGAAAUGUUUUAUGUUUAACGGAGCAACAACGUUAUUCAAGCGAACGACUCUUUGACCAUUUGAAACGGUGAAUAAAACUCAUUCUAAUAUUUAUUAUUGUUUGCUUAAUGUCGAUCGUUAUUUAAUUCAGACUUUCCAUAAGAAAUGGUCGGAACGUGAAGCUGCAAUUUUAAUAAUUUAAAAUCCCGGUACCCCGUUUCCCGUGAAAACAUUUAAAAACUUUGUACACUUGUCUCCGAAUGAACGAUUUAAUAGAUUUAUGAAUAUCUAUAUGAAAAGUGGAGAAGCCACGGACUCGUCAGAAAAUAUGUAACGUGCAAAAAUGAAAGACUGGUACGUAGAAUCAUUUUUACAAUAAUAAAAAUCAACAUAACCAUUGCAUUGAAAAAAGUUUGACGAAUAAAUACAAAUUUAUGCAACAUUUCUUAUCCAAGGCGUGGCAGGACAUUUCGGAUGCGGAAGUAAGUAAAAAAUGUGGAAUACGUCCUUUUCGUUCGAAGAGGUCUGUUUGAGAAUUAUUCAUCUUUAUAUAUAUAUAUAUAUAUAUAAAUCUCAGAUCUUUUCUUCGUUUCACGUUGAGAAUUCAUUCAGUAAAUUGAAACUUUUCGUAAAUGCAUAAACAUGUGUAAAUAAAAGUGAAUUCUUAAUCUAUAGCAACACGAUUAUAUGUUAUAUAUGAUAACUAAAAAAUACAUUUAAUUUGAUGUAAAUAGAAAACUUGAUUUUGCCUCUGCAGCUUCUUACCAGUCUCACUAGAGUUAUUUUUAAUUUUGUAAAAAAAAAAAAAGAAAAAAAAAAGAAAGAAAGAAAGAAAGAAAACGCAUACGAGAUUUAUUUGAUAUUCGCUUCUACUAGGAUAAGUGUGUGCGUAGAAAUACAUGGUGAAUAGAUAGAUGCCGCAGGCAUCGGCAUCGAUGGAAAACGUUUAUAAUGCGUUACAAAUACUGGAUUGGUGAAUUUCUGAAAGUAUCCCGUCAUGUGCAUGGCGUGUAUGCGUUGAUGGAAAUCUGACGUGAGUCAAAAAUCAAAAUACGUCUGGUGUCAAUACUAUUAAAUCUCUCUGCUAGAAAAACUGAAAUUUAAAAUUGAAGCAACACAAAGGAUACUCUGUUGAAUAUUGAAACGCGGCUACCAAUUUGUCAAUGUUCUUCCUACAAAAAGGAAAAUGAAAAAUAAAUAUUAAUUUUAGAGUGCAAACGCUUUAACGUACAAGAGAAUUCGUAUCAACAUUUUUUUUUAUUUAAUUACAGUCUAAUCUAUCUUGUUACAUUCAUCCGAAAACCGAUGAAUGUUCAAUGUUCUUCUCAAGGACAGCUUUUUUUUUCUAAAAAUGUUAUACAACCUUUCAACAGUACUUUUGAUCCUUUAAUUUCUUUAAAGGCAUGUGCGUCUCUUAAGUUUUUGCAAUUUGUAAAUUUGCAAAAAUGUGUUUUUCAUAAUUCGAAGAUACUAUAAAUGAACUAAUUCUAUUUCGAGUAUACACUUGAUAAAUAUUUAUCGUGAUUUUCGAUAAUCAGAUGAUUAUCGCAGGUAAAACUGAACGUGUUAAUGGAAGUCAUGCAAAUAAUAAAGCAAAUGAUAAUGAAAAUAAAUAAUACAAAUAAUAUCACAAAAUUAGUAACUUCUUUAUAAUAACAAUAAUUCAUUAAUGUUGUAAAAAUACAAACAGUCAAGAAAUUCUAAUAUCUACAGAUUUAUGUCUUCUCUAUCAACGUAUUCUUGCAAUAAAAUCACUAAAAACUUUCACAAAAUUUAAUUUAUUUCUGGAAGACGGUUUAUUUGAAAUCGGCGAUGCGAUCAAAUGCUAUUGAUAAGUAGGGAUGAACGUCAAACUCUAAUUACAAUUCUAGAGUUGCCAAAAAUUUUCCUAUGUUUGAGACAAGAGAAUCGUUUCAGAAAUGUCAUCAAGCAGAAAUCGCUUGGAAAUCUAUUCGCGUAGGCAAAACUUUGCUUCGAAAGUUCCGAAUAU